AGGUCAUACACAUCUCCUGACAAAGUAAUGCAAAAUCAUUUUUUUCCCCCCAAAGCUUAUCACCUUAGGAUAUAUCAAGUCAAAGCUAAAGAAACCAUAACUUAUAAAAACACCCCAUGCCAUGCAAAACACAAUCCUGUCUGGCUGCAGCAUCAUCUUUGCCACAGGAGUGAACAAAGUCCAGUAAGUGAGGGGGGGGACUAGCACUCCUCUGUGCUCACUUCUGUCCUAUCAGACUGCAGCAGGGAGGAAAGGGUUACAGAGCAGCCUGCAGUGAUUGGAUGAAGAGACCCAGCACAGCAGACUCAGCGAGGAAGAUGAGUCAUAGUGAGGACACGCCCCCCCUCCAAAGCACAGAAUCACAAACCAAGUGAGCAACAGAUAUAAGGACAAUACUCAAGUGUGGGAAGUUCUUGCCCCUGUGAAGAAAGCUACAGUAUAUUGGCAGGACCCUAGUUACCAGAAUUCAUUCAUUAAACUACUACAAGUCUCAGAAAGGCAACAGAGCUCCCAAGGGGUUACGCUACACUCUCGCACCAAAGGCCAGCUGUCAAUGCAAUUCCACCUGCAUCGUGUCUGGCCCAGGAGAAGCUGCCUUCAACCUCGGACCGCGUAUAGGAUAACGGUGCCCUGGCAUCACGAAGUGAUCAGAAUCAAUUUUUUGUAUAAAGAGGCAGCUGGAUGAGUGGGCCCCGGGCCAGCAGGACUGACACCUGGUUAUGACUAUGCUAAAGAGCAAUUUGUUAGCAACACCGCGGAAGAACAUUUGGCAGGCAGCCAAUGAUUCGGCGAGGAACAUCGCGGCACUCUGGAACACAGUCAACCUGAUCUCUACCGAGCAGCUGACAAGCGAAAAUGUCUCCAGCCCAUAACCUUCUCAUUGCCAACAGAUUCAUCCUCGUUGCCUUGAUGAUAAAAAGGAAAAAUGGAAAACUAGAAAAUAAACCCUUACCGGCUAUGUUCACUCAGCUCGAUAACCCAUGGAUGUGGUGUAUUAUUACUUUAUAAUCCUAUCAGCUUGCCAGGGUAUU
Long non-coding RNA from Hyla sarda, 1031 nucleotides. RefSeq lists it as uncharacterized. The transcript is spliced from 4 exons. NCBI's taxonomy places the organism in Eukaryota, Metazoa, Chordata, Amphibia, Anura, Hylidae. The record is from RefSeq and is a predicted model, not a curated record.